Esox lucius (northern pike) is the source of this 4670-nucleotide long non-coding RNA. NCBI's taxonomy places the organism in Eukaryota, Metazoa, Chordata, Actinopteri, Esociformes, Esocidae. The record is from Ensembl.
CUUCAGUAACCCCUAAACAUGUUCCCCAAAGAUAGCCUUCAGUAACCCCUAAACAUGUUCCCCAAAGAUAGCCUUCAGUAACCCCUAAACAUGUUCCUCAAAGAUAGCCUUCAGUAACCCCUAAACAUGUUCCCCAAAGAUAGCCUUCAGUAACCCCUAAACAUGUUCCUCAAAGAUAGCCUUCAGUAACCCCUAAACAUGUUCCUCAAAGAUAGCCUUCAGUAACCCCUAAACAUGUUCCUCAAAGAUAGCCUUCAGUAACCCCUAAACAUGUUCCUCUGUUUUAUUGUUAUUGUACUUUCAUUCAGAACAGAGUAAAUCUGUUGCGUUGCUUUCUCAGAAGACACAUCACAAACGCCCCUGGACAUUUCUAUUAUGCUGAGUCCAAAGGAGCCCAGAGGAGUGAAGAGAGAGAGAACGUCAGAAAGACACUGAAAGAGUGUGAGAAAGGGAGAGGUUUUAACCAAAAUAUGAACAGCGUACAGAAAAAAAAGGUCUGUACAGUAACAUAGAGCAGUAGUAACAUAGAACUGUAGUAACAUAGAACUGCAGUUACAUUGAAUUGACUAACAGAGACUGAUUGAUGGUGUACUUGGACCCUGUCUGUAUGGGAUCUGGAAGUGUUCCUGAUGUUUACACAUUUCAUAUACAGCAUCACGCUUCAACAGAACUCAGAUAUUCAACAUUCAGAACAUAACAGCAUUUACAAGUACAUACCUGCGAGUGUUUUGUGUGGUUGCGUUAAUUAAUAUUGCUGGGGAGUUGAACGAACUCGGACACCCUUUAAAGAGAUCCCACGAUCCAAAAGAUAAGUGGUCUAACACAGGGCAACCCUAACAGCUGAUAUCAGAAGGCUUGUUGUCACGGUGAUGAGAGAGGCAACAGCCAUAAUCACAUGCAUAAAUACAGGACGUUACUAUUUCAGCCGUCGAUGAACUGGGUUGUAUAGGCUUGUGUGUGACUGGUGCUAGGAGUUCUUCAAGGGCUGAUAUGGUUGGCCAUGGUCUGCUGCUUCAAUGCUCACUAGCUAAAACUCCAAUCUGCGACAUAUAAUAGCUGUCUCAAACCCAGCAGCACGGGAUCUCAUCCAUCUCCUGUUUCACCUCCUGGAAGUGCCUAGGUGACUAGAGGUCAUGAGGUCAUAUUAAACAGCUGGGUCUAGCCCAGAGGAGGGCAACGGUGAGCAGGCUUUUGUUACAGCCCAGCAUUAACACAAGAACUGAUUCAACAAAUGAAAUAGUCAUGGUCUAAAAUUUGAAUCCUAUAUAUACAGUGCCAGACUGGAAUGAAAGCCUUUCAGAGUAAACGUUGGUUAUUUAAAAGCUAACAUUAUUAGCUAGCAACAGCGCCACCUGCUGUCUCCCUAACCAGUCACCAAACCAGCAGGCUAGGUUGCGCUUCAAACUGGUCUGAUUGGCUGACCAAUCACAAUCUCCUCAAUAAAUAAAUAAAUUAAUUGAUUAAUAAAUAAAUAAUUACAUUAUUUACAGCACAUCAUCAAAAAUCUAUCAAUCAUUAAAUAAAAGUGGCACUUGUUAACGACUUGUUAACAACCUGACAAAUUAGUUUUUCUGACAUUUCAUCUUUCUGUGAAGCAUAAAAACUAGAAGUAAUCUUCAGAAACCUCAAAUGAAAUACAUAGUUUAAAUUCCAUCAUGUCUCAAAGGUGCAACCAAAGCUCUGUCCAUGAGAAUAGGUCAGGGGGGGGACUUUCUUCUACAUCUUUGUUUGGGGGUUAAUAGUGCCAUGUUACUGAGGUGAGGAGGUAAGGUGUGGAGGUUUAUGUUACACUGUACACUACCAUAAUCUCCACCUGAACCUCAUAAUGAAACCAUCCUCCUGAGGAGAGAUGUGCAGAGAACACACAGCUUUGAGAAGAACUGGUUCAGAAGAGGUGGUUAAAGAGGAGAGUCAGAUAUUACAGGGACAAGCUGGUUCAGAAGGGAUGAUUAUGGAGGAAUGGGAGAAAUGACAGGGACAAUGUUCCCUCUAAGCUGUGUUGGAGUGCCACCUCCAGUGACGCCAGACAAAAGAAAGGCUUGCCCAGGGGCUUCCCUAUGAAUCCAUUUGUUGAUAUUAUUUGUUACUCAUCGAAUUAUUAACCAAGUUUUAGGUGAACCAUACUAAAAUAAAAAUAUCAUAAAAAAUACGGAAAUGCAUGGCAUACAUUAAAUAAUAUGCUAGAUUAAUGCAAACACAGAAAUUGGCCACAUCCUUUGUACCUAAAUGUACAAUAUUUUAAAAUAUAUCCAAAAAGUAUUUACAUACUUUUCUUAUUAUGGAAGUUCCUUCUUCGUCUUUUUCUGACAUAAUGCUCAAACAACCCAAUUAGUCAUUUGUCUAUCGUUUAAAACUGUACAGACGGUGAAAACGUGUGCCAGAAGUAUCACAACUUACACCAGAGAUCUGCUCAAACCCAAACAUGUUUAGAGGGAACACUGUUCACAAUCCAUCCCUCUAUCAGAGCCACCAUAUUAUGUCAGGGACCACAAAGCAUGCUGGGAAAAGGGCAAAGCCAUGUGUUAACUGCAGAUGUUGCUCCUAUCAGCUAACUCUUGUCCCAACCUGGCUUCAUACAUUAGGGGAAAAUAAAGCUCUCUGGCCUGGUAUCAUUCGGGGGAAAAUGUCACUCUCCAUUACGCUUUCUUCCUCUCUAUUGUGGACCCUCCAACGGUCUCUCUCUUUAUCAUGGACCCUCCAUCAGUCUCUCUCCAUCUCUAUCGUGGACCCACCUUGGUUUCAGAAACAGUAACACCUUUAAGACCUGUCAGGGCACUCACCUAACAAAUGUUGACUGUUACACUACAGAGAAAUAGUCAACAUUUGUGUUUAGUUGAUUCAGAGAUGCAACAGCUGUGUGUGUGUGUCUAAAAUACUGUGAGGGACAGUGUAAAAAGAGGUGCUGUCACGAAGCAUUGAGACAUUAAAUUACAUUUAAGUCAUAAUUAUGUUGGCAGGAUGCCAACAGGUAAAACUGUUGUAUGAAGGAUUAGUAUGAUGGGUCAAUUUCCCCCACUACUAAUUAAACAGACACCAAAUGGAAUGAAAACAGAGUUGCUGGAAAGGUCAAGCUUGACCAAUCAAAUAGAGUCUUAAUGAUCUCAGUCUGUCAUGAACCUCACCCUGACCUCUGUAGAGUCUGAUCAGAUGACCUCAGAAUUACAUCCUCAGGGUUGUCAGGUUGACCCUGUGAGGUUCUUCUCCAAAACCCCCAGUGUUAUCUGGGUAGUGUAGUUUCCAAAACCUCCAGUGUUUUUUGGGUAGUGUAGUUUCCACAAUCCCCAGUGUUUUUGGGUAGUGUAGUUUCCACAACCCCAGUGUUUUUUUUUGGGUAAUGUAGUUUCCACAAUCCCCAGUGUUUUUUGGGUAGUGUAGUUUCCACAACCCCGAGUGUUUUUGGGUGUUUUAGUUUCCAAACCUGAAAGCCCUGGUCCUGAAACCUUUACCAGUCACCCUGAAACACAAAGCCUUGGAUGCAGUUCCUCCAUCCACACAGGAAUUAAUUCACAGUUAUCCUCAAGAUUCCAAAAAUAAUGUUUACAAAAAUAAUAAUAGUAGUAAUGAUAUCCACAAUAAAACAAGACUGAGAGAAAUUAAUUGGCAAUGAUAGGAGAAAGUGAGGCGUUCUGCCCCAGGGGGUUGUUCUACCAAGUCAUGGAAAUGGAGGAGUUGUCCUGAGGAGAGGAUCAGACCUGGGCUCACCUCCACAGACAGGGAGGGAGAGAGAGGGGGUGUCUCUCUUCUCUCUCUCUCUUUUCUCUCAGGAGAGCCAGUUCAAAUAUUCCUGAACUCACCUUCAUACUUUUAGAAUAACAUAAUACACUUGAUGAUGUCACUACGUCACCUGAUGAUGUCACUAGAUCACCUGAUGAUGUCACUACGUCACCUGAUGAAGUCACAACGUAACAACCAAGCUAUGUGGGUUAUUCCGGUGGAGAGACUUGUUGCGUCUGUGUGCGUGCGUGGUAAAUGAACUGAACUCAUCCUACACCAAAGUCCUGUUAAACUGUCAUAUCUGGUCGGUUUGUAACAUUUCUUCAAACCUCUAAUGAAUUGUUUUGUUCCCUUUUUUCACUGGUAGAUCCUGGGUAAAGCGAAGGAUACAUCUUCAUCAGUCAUUGUCUAAUGUUCAUCAUUGCCUGUGUUUGUUAGGUUAAGGAGGAGGUGUGAUUUAGGCCAGGUGCUGAAUGCUGGAGACUGGGGAGGAGGUGUGAUGUAGGUCAGAUGAUUAAUGCUGGAGACUGGGGAGGAGGCGUGAUGUAGGUCAGAUGAUUAAUGCUGGAGACUGGGGAGGAGGUGUGAUGUAGGUCAGAUGAUUAAUGCUGGAGACUGGGGAGGAGGUGUGAUGUAGGUCAGAUGAUUAAUGCUGGAGACUGGGGAGGAGGCGUGAUGUAGGUCAGAUGAUUAAUGCUGGAGACUGGGGAGGAGGUGUGAUGUAGGUCAGAUGAUUAAUGCUGGAGACUGGUUGAGGGUCUGGGGGUAGAGGCCUACUGGUUGAGGGUCUGGGGGUAGAGGCCUACUGGUUGAAGGGGUGGGGGGUUGAGGCCUACUGGUUGAGGGUCUGGGGGUAGAGGCCUACUGGUUGAAGGGGUGGGGGGUUGAGGCCUACUGGUUGAAGGGGUGGGGGGUAGAGGCCUACUGGUUGAAGGGGUGGGGGGGUAGAGGCCUAC